Molecule: transfer RNA, 67 nt
Filed under: Marmota monax (woodchuck)
Lineage: Eukaryota; Metazoa; Chordata; Mammalia; Rodentia; Sciuridae
Description: tRNA.Ala
Source: RNAcentral
GGUUGUGGCUCAGUGGUAAAGCACUUGUCUAGCAUGUGUGAGGCACUGGGUUCAAUUCUCAGCACCA